AUGUAUCCACAAGGUUUAGUAGUCAUGAUGGGAGCGGCAAAGAACAUCACGGAGACGACCGUCUCAGACAUGGUGGGGAAGACGGUGGCAACUGUAACGGAGGCGACUGUCUCAGACAAGAUGGGAGAGAUAGUGGGGCCCGUCACGAAGGCGACCAUCCCAGGUACCCCACGGAAGACUGUGGCGCCCACCACAGAGGCAACCGUCAUGGAGGCGGCAGGGGAGACAAUGGCACCCAUCAUGGAGACGACCAUCCCAGACACGUCAGGGAAGAUGGUGACGCCUGUCACAGAAGCAACCAUCACAGUGGUGACGGGAGAGACAGUGGCGCCCAUCACAGAGACGACCAUCCCAGACACGUCAGGGAAGAUGGUGAUGCCUGUCACGGGGGCAACCAUCACGGAGGCGGCAGGAGAGACGGUGGCGACCAUCCUAGACAAGCUAGGGAAGACAGUGGCGCCAGUCACAAAGGCGACUGUCUCAGGCAUGCCAGGGAAGAUGGUGGCACCUGUCACAGAAACAACCGUCAUACAGGUGACGGGAGAGACAGUGGCGCCCGUCACAGAGACGACCAUCCCAGACACGUCAGGGAAGAUGGUGACGCCUGUCACGGAGGCAACCAUCACGGCGGCGGCAGGAGAGACGGUGGCAACCAUCCUAGACAAGCUAGGGAAGACAGUGGCGCCAGUCACAAAGGCAACCAUCCCAGUCAUGACAACGACCAUAGUGCUUGGACAUAAAGAAAUCUCAACUUCAGGGCUGCCAUCAGUAAAAAGCUUCUCAAGUUCUACAAUGAAAAUAAGUAGAGAAUCAACUCUGUUUUUCAAGUCUACUGCUAAACAACUAACUUUGGAGGACAAUAUGUUAGUCAAAUCAAACUCGAACAACCCGACUUCUGGGCCAGUCAUGACAGAAAAUGAAGAGAUAAUCAUGAAUGUGACCACCCCAGAUGAGGCAGGGGAGAAGAAGGCACCCGUCACGGAGGAGGCUUCCCCAGAGAAAGAACGGCAAUCAUCUAGACUAGUGUUAGGACUCGGCAUUUUCUUUGGGAUGCUCCUUAUUACUGCCAUCAUUAUUUGUUACUGUCUAUGGCAAAAGUCAAGAAAAAGCUCAUUUGACGUGAACUCAGUGGAAACAACUAUUCCCUUAAAUUCCACUGAAACAAAAGAACCAAGCUCAGAUGGGAAGAAGAAAUGAAAGCACUCACACUUAAUAGCCAUUCAUGAAGAUCUCACAAAAAGAACUAAUAUGGCUGAAUCAUCAGAGAAAUUAAAAUGGAUUGAAAUUCAAAGAGAUCCACUUAAUCACAGAAAAGGGCAAUCUCAGUAGUGUAAACUUCUUUUUAAAUGGCACAUUUUGGAGUGUUCCUGAAUCUAAUCAUAGUAAUAAGCAGAUAUUCAUUGGUGCUGGCUGCUACAAAUCUUUAUUCAUUGCCUGUUCCUUUUUGGUUGUGGAAAAAAGCUCACCUUACUUUAAUAUAGUUAUCUAAGAGCCAGAUUCUGCCAUUUAGGCACAAAUCUGCACCAGCAUAUGAGGAACAGGGGGAGGCAUAAUCCCUCUCCCAGCUCUCCAGCAUGCAGAAGAAGCAUGCCAUGGCCCUUUCUCUUCCUGCCCCUGCCUGCUUCCUUUAGAGGAAUUGUGGCCAUUAGGGUGCACAGAAGGAAUGAGUCAUGGAGCGGGGCAGUCUUUGUGCUUCCCUGAGUAUAGGGACUGGGGUCUUUCUGGGCCCUUAUGUGAAGCCCCUAAGGAGUGAGGGGAAAACUCCUUAUGCCUCCUGCUCCCACUGAUUCAUCCGUCCAAAAGCCUGUGACAAUCUAGCCCCUAAUUCUUUGUACAUAGCUUGUUUUAUAAUAAAUGACCUAAGUAAAAGUGAGUCUCA
Long non-coding RNA from Gopherus agassizii (Agassiz's desert tortoise), 1879 nucleotides. The record is from Ensembl. NCBI's taxonomy places the organism in Eukaryota, Metazoa, Chordata, Testudines, Testudinidae.